Molecule: ribosomal RNA, 253 nt
Filed under: uncultured bacterium
Lineage: Bacteria
Description: partial 16S ribosomal RNA
Rfam family: Bacterial small subunit ribosomal RNA
Source: RNAcentral
UACGUAGGAGGCAAGCGUUGUCCGGAAUCACUGGGCGUAAAGAGCGUGUAGGCGGUGGGGCAAGUCUGCUGUGAAAGCGCCCGGCUUAACCGGGCGAGGUCGGCGGAAACUGCCCGACUCGAGGACGGUAGAGGGGGGUGGAAUUCCCGGUGUAGUGGUGAAAUGCGUAGAGAUCGGGAGGAACACCUGUGGCGAAGGCGGCCCCCUGGGCCGGCCCUGACGCUGAGACGCGAAGGCGCGGGGAGCGAACGGG